GACGAACGCUGGCGGCGCGCUUAACACAUGCAAGUCGAACGGAAAGGCCUGCUUUCCCUUGUGGAUUGCGGGUACUCGAGUGGCGAACGGGUGAGUAACACGUGAGUGAUCUGCCCCCAACUUGGGUAUAAGCCUGGGAAACUGGGUCUAAUUCCCGAUAGGACUGCAGGGUGGUUCCGGUGGUGGAAAACGAUUUUCUAGUGGUUGGGGAUGAGCUCGCGGCCUAUCAGCUUGUUGGUGGGGUAAUGGCCUACCAAGGCGGCGACGGGUAGCCGGCCUGAGAGGGUGGACGGCCACAUUGGGACUGAGAUACGGCCCAGACUCCUACGGGAGGAAGCAGUGGGGAAUAUUGCACAAUGGGCGGAAGCCUGAUGCAGCGACGCCGCGUGGGGGAUGACGGCCUUCGGGUUGUAAACUCCUUUCGACAGCGAGGAAGCCACCUGGUUGGAAGGGUGGUGACGGUAGUGGUAGAAGAAGCACCGGCUAACUACGUG
This 494-nucleotide ribosomal RNA is filed under the name uncultured bacterium. RNAcentral's name for it is "partial 16S ribosomal RNA". It matches the Rfam family "Bacterial small subunit ribosomal RNA", at positions 28 to 507 of the family's 1533-position model. The record is from RNAcentral.